UAAAAAUGAAAUUAAGUGUGGAUUAGUGAAAUAAUGACCAGCCAAAACUGAAAGAAACAAAACAGGAUGAUAAAAGUGACAGGUGAAAGAUUUAGCCCAAUUGCAGGUAACUUUUCAACAUAAAGACAAACAUGCCCCCCAAAAAAUGCUUUCCAUUUAAGUUAUGCCUUUUACUGAAUAAUUCAGUUCUAAACUCAGCCAUUUAUAGGGUUACAAUUAAAAUCAUUUUAAGAAUCAAACUAGUCUUCUCUAAAGAAGGCAGUUUCCUAUUAUGAAGAUACUGCCUUUUGCUUUUAUAAGAGUAUAAAGAAAUCUAUAGGAAGACUAGCCCUUUCUACUGAAAAGUCAACGUCCACGAACUGGCCUGGGAAGGAUCAAAAUAGGAUGAAGGGAAUGUUGCUGAGGAAACCAGGUGACGUCAUAGAAGAUGCAGGAGAGGCCAACCACCUGUUAGAAAACCCCCUUCCUUGCUUCCAGGCAGCCAGGACAGGACCACUGUUGCUUCACUCCUAGGUGAUUCCUCUCCUCCCCUCCAAGAAAGAGGCAAAACUACCUUAACUCGACCACUCAAAAGAAAGGAAAUCCUCAAUCCUCACUUAAUUGUUUAGUGGUCCAUCUCUCCUCAUCUCACAGACAGGCUAGACCCAUACCGGGUCAGGUUGAGAGGAGAGAUCUACCCAGGAGUAGUGGGCAUCUCUGUGCAGCUUGCACAGUGCCAGACGACCUCUGCCUGGGAUGAGUCACUCACUGCCCGCCUACUAUUCAUCCCAAGUGCGGACCUCUGAAAUCCAGCCGAGGAUUUCUGAGUCAGGCAGUUUUUUAUGGUUGCUGCAUUCCUCUGUCAAAGGAAAUUUUUGCCUCCUUUGAGAAUAAGUGAUAAUUUUAUGCAUAUUCUUGGAUCCUAGCAAAAAGUCAAGAUCAUUUGGAUCACUGCCUGCAUUAAGUGGACUCCCAUUGAAUUUACAAAAGAGGAAGUUUAAAUUAUUUCUUUAAAAUUACAUUAGAAAUAGUCUGUCCUUUCCAAAAAAUUCAGAAACUUAUAGAGAUAAACAUUUCAGACUGUUUUCUGGAAGAUCCAGUCCUGCUUAACAAAAAACAGACUCUAAGUUCAUCUGAUGUAACAUCAACACCACUCCUGGGAGCCACUUAAGAAGCAAAACUGCUCCGAGUAUGGUUCGGACAGUUGAAUGUCAUCUAAAUUUCCUCCAACCACUGUAGAAAACACUCUUUUUCUUUCAUUUUUUAAGCCCCUGGCAGCUACCUGCUUCCAGAAGUUCAGCUUUUUUGAGAUUUCAUACAUAAUCCCCAAAACUGUGGCUCAUUUGAAAAUCGAUCUGAGCUGAAGGCAACCCAAGCCUCUUGCCUCUGACAACUCCAUCCAGGUAGGACAUCUUCCUUCAUCACCAUGGUCUUGGGCGUGCUCUCCUGAGCUUUAUUCUCUUCUCUCCCACCACAGGUUUCAAGUUUCUUCCUUCCUUCCUUUCUUUCUUCAUCCCUUCCUUCCUCUCUGUCUCCCUUUCUUUCUCUUUUGGCUGAGAUGCCUGCACCCAAAGUCUAACUUUCCAAAACCAUUUAUGUUCCAUCAGCCGUGACUCCUACUCUCAGCUGUAGUGACAGGAAAUUGAGUGGUAGGUACAAGGCUGUGAUGGAAAAAAGAUGAAUAAUUUCCUGAAAACUUUCCUCACUCUCAACAUGAGGGUCCUGGGUUGCCUCACCACAAAGCUGGAUUCACAGAUUAAAAUGCAAGAGUGAAAACACCAUCCUUCCCACCCCUUCACUUUUCAGGGAAGCAGUGAUGGCAGGGAUGGCUGCCUGACCGCCACCUCAGAAGGAACGUGUUGAUGGGGUGGGCACCGACCACCCAGCGAGUCUGCAUGGAACCCAUGCUGAAGCACGUGCCAAGCCAACAUGGCUUCCGCAGUAGUGGUGGCAAGGGAGGCAGCCCAUCAUUACUUCUGUUUUAUUUUAUUUUAUUUUAUUGGAGUACAAUUGAUCUACCAUGUUGUAUUUCAUUUCUGUUAUACAGCAAGAUGACUCAGUUAUACAUAUAUUUUCUUUUUCAUAUUCUUUCUUAUCAUGGCUUAUCAUAGGACAUUGAACUAUAUUUAAUAUCCGUCAUUACUUCCUGAAUGUGAUAUUUUUGGUUUUGUUGACUGAUUGCAUAGGCCGACUGAUCACCCUUGCAAUAUCAUUGUGGUUCUUUAUUAUGAGACAAGAAUUCAAAUAAAACUAGAGUGCCAGUCUCAAAAGAGUCAGAAGAAUAUGUAUAAGUACCAGUGGGUCCCAGGCUCCCAGAGAACAGUUUUCUCUUUGACCUCAUUUUCUCAUAAACUCAAGAGUAGGCAUUGGAGCAAAUAAAUUUCAUUGGCAAAUCAUCCAACAUUUGGUAUUAUCUGGGCAAAACUUUGCUCCAUCCGACUGACCCAAUUCUUCUGCCCCAUGGGGUCUUGGAGGUGUUAAGGUUAACAAAUCAAUGCAUGAGUGACAACUAUUACAGCUCUGGCCCUCUCACAGCCUGCUGCUAGUCUUAUGUUUUGACUUGAUUAGUCAGAAUACAGACAACACUCAGACUGCUGUCUAAACUAGAAGGUGCUGAAGUCAUUAGUGCCUUGGUUUGAGCAGCUCUAAAACCUUCUAUUAAAGUGUCUGUGGUCUCCUAUGAAACCAAAUGUUUCUGUAACGUUAAACAGAGCACAGAAGCCACUGUGCUUCUCAUCUAUUUGUCCUAGAAAAAACUGGGUCUCCUGCACUGGUCUCCUCAUAACUCAAGAACAGACCUGAGAUCUGACAUAAAUAAGCAAAAUUCCUACUAAGUUCCAGUUGCUAUCCAUCACAGAGGCCUGCUGAUGGUAUCUGAGUUCUAAAGGUGUAGAAAAGAUGUCCCUGACCACAUACAAAGUGCCACGGCAAUCAAGACUAUUCUUAGAGUUACAUAAAAGAUGCCUCAUAAAAAAUUUUUAAUUUUCAGAUUUAACGCAAUUUUCUAGGAUUCUUGAAUCUCUUUCCAAUUAACAAAAAUUCAUUGGUUUUCUGAGUAUGCUGAAUUUUUUUAAAUUUCCAGAAUUCUAACGACUCAUUUAAAGUCCCACCAUUUUGUUUCAUAGACUUUGAGAUUGCCCUGGUGUCAGUUGGCCCACUGAUAUUAGCUUUUCUGCCUCCUAUGAGAUAUGUGAACUCUGCAUUUUCAGCCACACCAACUGAACUAUGGGGGGGUUAAUUAAUAAGCAACAAUCAUGUCCAGUGUCGUUAGAGGCCGUACAAGA
Molecule: non-coding RNA, 3263 nt
Organism: Odocoileus virginianus texanus
Lineage: Eukaryota; Metazoa; Chordata; Mammalia; Artiodactyla; Cervidae
Source: RefSeq, a predicted model, not a curated record